RNAcentral lists this ribosomal RNA (1316 nucleotides) under metagenome. RNAcentral describes it as "bacterial SSU rRNA". It matches the Rfam family "Bacterial small subunit ribosomal RNA", at positions 148 to 1498 of the family's 1533-position model. The record is from RNAcentral.
GGCUGGAAACGGCCGCUAAUACCCCAUAUGCCGAGAGGUGAAAUGAAUUUCGCCUGAGGAUGAGCCCGCGUCUGAUUAGCUAGUUGGUGGGGUAAAGGCCUACCAAGGCAACGAUCAGUAGCUGGUCUGAGAGGAUGAUCAGCCACACUGGGACUGAGACACGGCCCAAACUCCUACGGGAGGCAGCAGUGGGAAUUUUCCGCAAUGGGCGAAAGCCUGACGGAGCAACGCCGCGUGAGGGAUGAAGGCCUCUGGGCUGUAAACCUCUUUUCUCAAGGAAGAAGACCUGACGGUACUUGAGGAAUAAGCCACGGCUAAUUCCGUGCCAGCAGCCGCGGUAAUACGGGAGUGGCAAGCGUUAUCCGGAAUUAUUGGGCGUAAAGCGUCCGCAGGCGGCCUUGUAAGUCUGUUGUUAAAGCGUGGAGCUCAACUCCAUUUAAGCAAUGGAAACUACAUGGCUGGAGUGUGGUAGGGGCAGAGGGAAUUCCCGGUGUAGCGGUGAAAUGCGUAGAUAUCGGGAAGAACACCAGUGGCGAAGGCGCUCUGCUGGGCCAUAACUGACGCUCAUGGACGAAAGCCAGGGGAGCGAAAGGGAUUAGAUACCCCUGUAGUCCUGGCCGUAAACGAUGAGCACUAGGUGUCGGGGGAAUCGACCCCCUCGGUGUCGUAGCCAACGCGUUAAGUGUUCCGCCUGGGGAGUACGCACGCAAGUGUGAAACUCAAAGGAAUUGACGGGGGCCCGCACAAGCGGUGGAGUAUGUGGUUUAAUUCGAUGCAACGCGAAGAACCUUACCAGGGUUUGACAUCCUGCGAACCCCUGAGAAAUCGGGGGGUGCCUUCGGGAGCGCAGAGACAGGUGGUGCAUGGCUGUCGUCAGCUCGUGUCGUGAGAUGUUGGGUUAAGUCCCGCAACGAGCGCAACCCACGUCUUUAGUUGCCAGCAUUCAGUUGGGCACUCUAGAGAGACCGCCGGUGAUAAACCGGAGGAAGGUGUGGAUGACGUCAAGUCAUCAUGCCCCUUACAUCCUGGGCUACACACGUACUACAAUGCUACGGACAAAGGGCAGCAAGCUCGCGAGAGUUAGCAAAUCCCAUAAACCGUGGCUCAGUUCAGAUCGUAGGCUGCAACUCGCCUACGUGAAGGAGGAAUCGCUAGUAAUCGCAGGUCAGCAUACUGCGGUGAAUACGUUCCCGGGCCUUGUACACACCGCCCGUCACACCAUGGAAGUUGGCCAUGCCCGAAGUCGUUACUCCAACCCUUGUGGAGGAGGACGCCGAAGGUGGGGCUGAUGACUGGGGUGAAGUCGAAACAAGGUA